Thunnus maccoyii (southern bluefin tuna) is the source of this 1227-nucleotide long non-coding RNA. RefSeq lists it as uncharacterized. The transcript is spliced from 3 exons. The record is from RefSeq and is a predicted model, not a curated record. Lineage: Eukaryota; Metazoa; Chordata; Actinopteri; Scombriformes; Scombridae.
GUUUAAUUCAGUACGUUUUGUAGGUAAAUGUGGACUUGAUUCAGUAAAAAUGUAACUUAAAUGACAAGCUAACAUCACCGAUCACCAGUAUGUUAAAUUGUCAUUUUUUUCAAUGGAGUUUGGUGUACCUAACGUUACUCACUCCUCUGCUGGAAAGUCCUUGACGGCUUUAUUGUGGCCGUCACCUUUGGAGCAAAAGCCUCUCACGCCAUUGCUUUUUGGUGAAGUGCUGCCCGGUAAAAGCUCUCCCUCUGGCCGGUGUCGGCUAGUUCUACGUCAUGGAUCCAUCAUUCCACGUCAUCCUGAAAAAUCCUGAACACAGAAAUGAGCAGAGAUGCCUCGUUAAGAGAGGCUGCUAAAGUUACAAAGUGCACAACAGGGUGGAUUUACUAUUGAUUAGGUACGAGGAUGCUGCAAUAGCAAAUCGUGCCUCGUUCCCAGAUGGACAGCGAGUGGAAAGCGACAGAUCAGAUGAAGAGAUGGAGACACAGCGAGGAGAAGAAGAGGAAAACACUGAACCACAGCCAACAGAGAGUGUGCAGGGAACAGCGAGCCAGGAGAAGGAGACCAAAGCCAGAGAGCGGCCGUUCUCAAUCCUGAUCCUGCACCAUGUCCUACAAUUCAAUAUAAAGUAUGAUGAGCAACAGCAACAGCAACACAUCCCAUUUCCACACACCUUAUCCAUUCAUCUCCCCUUUUGUCUCAGUUUGCAAGCCCUCAUCAGGUAAAAUAUAGGCCUCUUUUGCUGGUGAUACUCAACACACUGUGAAGCAAUUAUAAUGUGGUAGAAAUGCAUCUCUACAGAUAUAUUGUUGUUAGUACCAUGGCUGACCUGCAUAACAGCUGCAGUUCAUAUUGCUGUAAGAAGUGGUGGAGGUAAUUAAAAAGGGGAGGUAGAUAAAAACACCGAGAGGAAGCUGUUCGCUGCACGGUUUGAUGCGUCAUCAUAUUCACUUUAUGGAUUUUAUUGCCCUUGUUUUUGUUUUGUUAAAUUGUUUAAACUUUUUUGUUGUUGUUAGAGAUGUACACAGAUAAAUGAAUGUUUGGAUUGCUGCUUGUUUUAGUCACCCUAGCAUCUGCUGUUAUAAUGACAGGCAAUAAUUGCAAAUAUCAUUUUCAUGAUGGGGGCUACGCCGGCAGGAAUAUUGGAGAUGCUAUACGCUGACAGUAGAGAUGAGACAGCUGAGCGCGAUUCUGCACUGCUGAAUAAAACUGCUGUGAUUUUAA